Molecule: non-coding RNA, 1949 nt
Organism: Equus caballus (horse)
Lineage: Eukaryota; Metazoa; Chordata; Mammalia; Perissodactyla; Equidae
Source: RefSeq, a predicted model, not a curated record
CGGGGCGUCGCGGAACGCAUGCGCGCGGGCCUCCUUUGCCGGAGCCGCGCUCGCGUCUGGGUACCCGGAGCUGGAGUCGGGGCCGCCAUGUUUCCCGCGGGCCUCCGGCCAGGCCCUUCGUGCUCUAACCCGGCACCGGCUCGGAUUCCAAGGAGGCCGGUCCAGAGGGAAGAGACUGAGCUCAAGGGCAACCGUAGUGAGCCCUGAUGUCCGAGAAGGCUUCGUGGAGCCUAUCACAUCCGUCCCGCCCCUUCGUCUUCCCACCACCACGGCAGGCCUCCAUUCCUGGCCCAUUUUAGAGAUUGAGAAACCGAGCCUUCAUAGGGCGGCCCAGUGCCUUGGACAGAAACCCCAUAAAGUGCGGGAUGGAGAGGAGACAUUCCUCCACCCGUUUGCACUCACCUGGGCAAGUGGCGGGAGUGGGAAACAGGGGGACCCCAUGUGAUGUUCCAGAAAAGCAGCUGGGGACGUGGGGAAGCCAGUCUGUCACACACAGCCAGGGCUUGGUGUUCUCCCGUUGAACACACACAAUUUCAUAAAACCUCAACGUCAGGCUAUGAUGGAUCAAGACAAAGGAGGCCACUCUAAGCAUGUCUGAAAACAAAACAUGAGUUUUGUCUAAGCUGCCAAAUGACCAAACAUCCCUCUUGGCUAGUAAGAGUAACCACUUUUUCUUUACCAAUUCCAAGUUCAAGCUUUGUCUGGUCUUCCUACCUGCUAGAUAAGAUGUAUUAAGACACCUAGUUAAGGAAUUACAUCCUCUGCCUGACAUUAUCCAAUCCAGGGCAGAGCCCCUCCUUCCUUAAAAGUUUCCCCAAGUCAACUAACACAAACCCAAGUCUUAGACGUCCUUUCCAGAAUCCCCUUACUGAGGCUUCCCAUGGUUGUGGUCUCCCUCGAUGAGUAAUAAACCCAACUCGUUCCACUGCAGAUGUGUUUCUGGUGAUCUGGGACUUUAGGACAUUGACUGGCCCAGCCUUCGUGCCUCUCAUCUACUGGACUGCUCACUCACCACUAUUUGAAACCUGCACUGCUCUCUUCUGAUCCUCAACAGAUUUGUGACACCCGUCCUGCUAGGACACUCUCUCUCCCUUGCUGGCUUUGAAGAAGCAAGUUGCCAUGUUGUGGGGUGCAAUAUGGAGAGGACCAUGGCCAGUAACUAAGGGUGGCUUCCAGCUGACAGUCAGCAAGAAACUAAGGCCUUCAGUCCAAGAGCCCACAAGGAGAUGCAUGCUUCUAAGAACUAUGUGAGCUUGGAAGCGCCUCCUUCCUAGUGGCUCAGAUGAGCCCCCAGCCCUGGUCAACACCUUGAUUGCAGCCUUGCAGAGGACUUGGUUGUGCCUGGACUCCUGACCCCUGGAAACUGUGGGAUACUUGAUGGAUGUGGUUUUCAGCAGCCACGUUUGUGGUAAUUUGUUAUACAGCAGUAGAUAACUGAUACACCCUCCAUCACCAAAUCCUAUCCGUUUUAUCCCCUGAAUGCCUUUUGAAUCCACCCCUGAGCUCACCCCAAUUCUGUGUGACCCAAUCACAGCCUCCUUUCAGGCUUCUCCCUCAGGCCUUAUCAAUCCCUUAUACUUGGCUUUCUCUCUCUUGUCCCAGGACAUUUUCUCCUGUGGGUUCCUUGGUUUGGAAUGUUCUCCUGGGUCCCCUUCUCCUGGGUAAAUUCCACUCAUUCCUCAGAUUUCAUCUAAGUCAUCAAUUCCUCAGGAAAACUUUUCUUGAGUGUCCUAAGUAAAAUCCGCCUUGACACCUCUCCUGUAUAGCUUUGGUCAUAGUUGCAGUUUUACAGUUAUCUCUGUAAUUAUUUCAUUAAUGACUGUAUCCUCCAUCAGAAUGUUGGCUGUAGGUGAUCAGGAACUGUGUUUGGUUUUGCACAUUGCUGUACCCCCGGCAGCUCGCACAUAAUAGGUGCUUCCAUAUAUUGAAUAAAUGAAUGGAGGCGUAAA